RNAcentral lists this ribosomal RNA (408 nucleotides) under uncultured Actinomycetales bacterium. RNAcentral describes it as "bacterial SSU rRNA". It matches the Rfam family "Bacterial small subunit ribosomal RNA", at positions 356 to 774 of the family's 1533-position model. The record is from RNAcentral. Lineage: Bacteria; Bacillati; Actinomycetota; Actinomycetes; Actinomycetales.
GGGGAAUAUUGCACAAUGGGCGCAAGCCUGAUGCAGCGACGCCGCGUGGGGGAUGACGGCCUUCGGGUUGUAAACUCCUUUCAACCAUGACGAAGCUUUCGGGUGACGGUAGUGGUAGAAGAAGCACCGGCUAACUACGUGCCAGCAGCCGCGGUAAUACGUAGGGUGCGAGCGUUGUCCGGAAUUACUGGGCGUAAAGAGCUCGUAGGUGGUUUGUCGCGUCGUCUGUGAAAUUCCGGGGCUUAACUCCGGGCGUGCAGGCGAUACUAGUAGACUUGAGGUCGGGAGAGGUUAGGGGUACUCCCAGGGUAGGGGUGAAAUCCUGUAAUCCUGGGAGGACCACCUGUGGCGAAGGCGUCUAACUGGAACGAACCUGACGGUGAGGGACGAAAGCUAGGGGCGCGAACC